This 312-nucleotide unclassified non-coding RNA is filed under the name Hevea brasiliensis (rubber tree). The record is from RNAcentral. Lineage: Eukaryota; Viridiplantae; Streptophyta; Magnoliopsida; Malpighiales; Euphorbiaceae.
UAGGAAUGACAGUGGAGUAAUUGUGAAUUGUAAUGAAAUAGAGAGAGGAAUAAGAAGUUUGAUGGAACAUGAUAGUAAGAAAAUGAAGAAAGUAAAGGAGAUGAGUGAGAACAGCAGAAGAGCGUUAAUGGAUAGUGGAUCUUCAUACUGUUGUUUAGGUCGUCUCAUAAAAAAUUUUAUGGACGAUUUAACUUAAAAUAUUAGAUUUGAAACUUUCUCUUUGCUUCAUAAUAACAAAAAUAAAAUUCCUUGAUUGCUUAUCACAAAAUUAUAAAUGUAUUACUUUUAAUUUUUAAUAUGCAUACACACAUA